RNAcentral lists this ribosomal RNA (265 nucleotides) under uncultured bacterium. Its description in RNAcentral is "partial 16S ribosomal RNA". It matches the Rfam family "Bacterial small subunit ribosomal RNA", at positions 793 to 1055 of the family's 1533-position model. The record is from RNAcentral.
GUCCACGCCGUAAACGAUGAAUACUAGGUGUCGGGGCCGUAUAGGCUUCGGUGCCGCCGCUAACGCAGUAAGUAUUCCACCUGGGGAGUACGUUCGCAAGAAUGAAACUCAAAGGAAUUGACGGGGACCCGCACAAGCGGUGGAGCAUGUGGUUUUAAUUCGAAGCAACGCGAAGAACCUUACCAGGUCUUGACAUCUUUCUGACCACUCCGUAAUGGGAGUCUUCCUUCGGGGACAGAAGAGACAGGUGGUGCAUGGUUGUCGU